UGUGUUUGGUUGUUGAUUGAUUUGUUUGCAGGUUCUGACAUUAAGUACUAAGUCUGGCUUAGGUACCGGAUUAAGCUUGGUGUGUAUUUCGUUAGUGUAGGCCUGACAUUGGUAUGUAUGUGUUUGAGGGAUUGCUUGUGAAGGGUGGUGCAUAUUAAAGCUAUGCGGUAUCAUUGGUUGGCCGAUCAUGUUCUUGUCUGAUUGUUGGUCGACCGACUAAUGAUACUUGCAUAGUUUAAGUAUCUAACACUACAUCAAUACUGAGCUCAAGCGUAUAUAUGGUUAACUAGGGAUUGGUUGUUGAGUUGUUUUAAUGCAGGUUCCCGU
This 327-nucleotide long non-coding RNA is filed under the name Brassica napus (rape). RNAcentral's name for it is "long non-coding RNA (BNAP_LNC018948)". The record is from RNAcentral. Lineage: Eukaryota; Viridiplantae; Streptophyta; Magnoliopsida; Brassicales; Brassicaceae.